Molecule: ribosomal RNA, 253 nt
Filed under: uncultured bacterium
Lineage: Bacteria
Description: partial 16S ribosomal RNA
Rfam family: Bacterial small subunit ribosomal RNA
Source: RNAcentral
UACGGAGGUGGCAAGCGUUGCUCGGAAUCACUGGGCGUAAAGGGCGCGUAGGCGGGGAGGUAAGUCGGGUGUGAAAUCCCUCGGCCCAACCGAGGAACUGCGCCCGAGACUGCUUCUCUUGAGUCCCGGAGAGGAAGGUGGAAUUCCCGGUGUAGCGGUGAAAUGCGCAGAUAUCAGGAGGAACACCGGUGGCGAAGGCGGCUUGCUGGGCCUUACCUGACGCUGAGGAGCGAAAGCGUGGGGAGCGAACAGG